UACGUAGGGUGCAAGCGUUGUCCGGAAUUAUUGGGCGUAAAGGGCUCGUAGGCGGUUUGUCGCGUCGGGAGUGAAAACUCAGGGCUUAACCCUGAGCCUGCUUCCGAUACGGGCAGACUAGAGGUAUGCAGGGGAGAACGGAAUUCCUGGUGUAGCGGUGAAAUGCGCAGAUAUCAGGAGGAACACCGGUGGCGAAGGCGGUUCUCUGGGCAUUACCUGACGCUGAGGAGCGAAAGUGUGGGGAGCGAACGGG
Molecule: ribosomal RNA, 253 nt
Filed under: uncultured bacterium
Lineage: Bacteria
Description: partial 16S ribosomal RNA
Rfam family: Bacterial small subunit ribosomal RNA
Source: RNAcentral